Molecule: non-coding RNA, 28 nt
Filed under: Homo sapiens (human)
Lineage: Eukaryota; Metazoa; Chordata; Mammalia; Primates; Hominidae
Source: RNAcentral
UGCCAUACAUUAUGCCAUGCUGGGUUUC